Molecule: non-coding RNA, 30 nt
Filed under: Rattus norvegicus (Norway rat)
Lineage: Eukaryota; Metazoa; Chordata; Mammalia; Rodentia; Muridae
Source: RNAcentral
UUUUGGUCUGAUUUUGACUUGCACUCUAGA